AUCAAUGACUCCAUUCCCUUGGAAGACAACCCCACUCAGCUUACUGAAGUCAAGCCAUAAUCUCGCAAGAUCUUGAUCCCAGCUCUCCGGUUCGUCCGGUGCUAUUAUUGUUCCAUCAAUCUGAAUAAAAUCAUAUCAUCUGUGAAAUGCUUGAUGAAACUUGAUCAUAUGCAGUUAACUCUGAUUUGCCAUCGUUACCUGGACAAUCAGCUUAUCACCACAAGGUCCUUUGAAUUUCGUCGCAGCUACCAGAUAUCGGCGACCUAGAGGAACCAAGAACACUGCAUUGGAUGAUGCAUUACAGGCAGUGCUCCAAGCUUUUACAAAGGCCUGAGUAUCAUCAGAAACUCCAUCUCCAGCAGCACCGAAGCUAU
Molecule: long non-coding RNA, 374 nt
Filed under: Linum usitatissimum (flax)
Lineage: Eukaryota; Viridiplantae; Streptophyta; Magnoliopsida; Malpighiales; Linaceae
Description: long non-coding RNA (LUSI_LNC001340)
Source: RNAcentral